UACGGGGGGGGCAAGCGUUGUUCGGAAUUACUGGGCGUAAAGGGCUCGUAGGUGGCCAACUAAGUCGGACGUGAAAUCCCUCAGCUUAACUGGGGAACUGCGUCCGAUACUGGAUGGCUUGAGUUUGGGAGAGGGAUGCGGAAUUCCAGGUGUAGCGGUGAAAUGCGUAGAUAUCUGGAGGAACACCGGUGGCGAAGGCGGGUCUCUGGGCCGAUACUGACGCUGAGGAGCGAAAGCGUGGGGAGCGAACAGG
RNAcentral lists this ribosomal RNA (253 nucleotides) under uncultured bacterium. RNAcentral describes it as "partial 16S ribosomal RNA". It matches the Rfam family "Bacterial small subunit ribosomal RNA", at positions 524 to 776 of the family's 1533-position model. The record is from RNAcentral.